RNAcentral lists this ribosomal RNA (253 nucleotides) under uncultured bacterium. RNAcentral's name for it is "partial 16S ribosomal RNA". It matches the Rfam family "Bacterial small subunit ribosomal RNA", at positions 524 to 776 of the family's 1533-position model. The record is from RNAcentral.
GACAGAGGGUGCAAACGUUGUUCGGAUUCACUGGGCGUAAAGGGUGCGUAGGCGGUCGGGUAAGUCUGACGUGAAAUCUUCGAGCUCAACUCGGAAACUGCGUCGGAUACUAUUCGGCUCGAGGAAUGGAGGGGAGACUGGAAUACUUGGUGUAGCAGUGAAAUGCGUAGAUAUCAAGUGGAACACCAGUGGCGAAGGCGAGUCUCUGGACAUUUCCUGACGCUGAGGCACGAAAGCCAGGGGAGCAAACGGG